Acyrthosiphon pisum (pea aphid) is the source of this 1336-nucleotide long non-coding RNA. RefSeq lists it as uncharacterized. The transcript has 3 exons. The record is from RefSeq and is a predicted model, not a curated record. Lineage: Eukaryota; Metazoa; Arthropoda; Insecta; Hemiptera; Aphididae.
UAAUUUUUCAUUUUUAAUAAUAUUUUUAUUUUUAUAUAGUUAUAUGCUACUUAAAGUUAUGAUGUUGAAACUGAAAAUAAUGUAAUUUUCCCAAUGGAACAAAAUAUUAUAAGCACCUAAUGCUUUGUUGCCAGUGUCAAUUAAUGAGGUGCCUGUAUUGAGUACAUGUGAACAUCAAUUCAUAAGUCCAAUAGAUAAUAAAGCUGCUGAACAGUCAUUAGAAGAAAAAAACAAUGUAAAAGAUAAUACAGAUAAUACUUCCAUGACAAUUGAUGAUUCAUCUACUAGUUUACUGUCCAUUACUCUGGAACCAAUUAAGAAAAGAACCUCACAGUGUAUUUUGAUGGAUGUUUGCAAUACUGAAAAUUUUACAAGGGAUGAGCACGGGUUUAUUUUACAAGAAAAAAAGCAGUGUACUGGGGUACUAUGUAAAAAACUCCCAGUAUAUUGGUUUUUUUUCUUUAAAAUGCCUAUUACGACAACGAAAGAGUUAGACGAUCUUUAAGAAAAAAUGCAUAGUAUUGAAAAAUGUUAUAGUAGGAGUGGAUUUGUCUUUCAACAAUGUAUAGGAUAUUUUGAAAAUAAAAGAUAAUAAUAUUUGUUCUGGCUUUCAAGGGUUGGUAAAAGAUCAAGAUUUGCAAGGAAUGAAAGCAAAAAUUGAAGCUAAAACAAAACUAUUAAAAUUUUUAAAAACAAAGCGAGUUUACUCGAGGAUCUUAUGUCCUAAUAUAAGACACUCAGUCUUUGAAAAACUAUUAAUGUUUUUAAAAUAUACUUUUCUAGUUAAAAACGACAUAUUUUUAAAAAAAAAUACAAAUAUUAUUUACUUUUUUUUUCACUAUAAUUAUUUUAAUUGCUUACUUUUUUAGUGACAACAUACAUGUUGAGUUCCGUAUUCUAAAGCAGAAUGUUUUUUGGAGUACUUAGAUAUUUUUUAUAAUUAGAGCGUAUAUUUAUUCUGGUUGAUCAUAUGGUAUACUGUGUGGGCACAACAUUUGUUUCAUAACAUAAAUAUUUUUACUAUAAAACUUUUAUGGUGCCUAUUUUGCAUAUUUCGACAUUUAUAGUUUUGAUUAAUAACAAAAUAAAUUAAUACGUUUACUCGUAGGUGUAAACGUUUUUCCCAGGGAGUUAAUUUUUUUCUUACAUAUUGAAACCACCGACAAAACACAAAUUAUUAUUUAAGUAGGUACCUACCUAGGUAAAUUCUUUUUAUGAUACAUUUUUAAUGUUAAGAGAAUUCCACAUAGACAUUUAUUGUCUCAGUCUUACUAAAAAAAUGAUAUAUUUUGCGAAACAUAGCAAAUUUACUUUAGAGCUUAAAAAUAAGAGUGAA